CAGUGUGCCCUUUAAAAAUUAACUGGUUUGCUGAAGAUGGGACUAAAGCCAAACAAAUGCAAAUUCCAGGAAGGUUUCUGUUCUAAAGAUCUGGAAAUCAAAACUUCAGCUGCUCAGUUCUCAUGUUGUACAAUUUAUUUCAUGUACCUGACUGCUUUCCUUCAGGUCUUUGGUUGUUGCUCUCUAUGUUCGUACCACUCUUGGCUUCUCUAAUUCACUGAUACUCCUUUUAUACGGCAGAAGGAUUCCUUGCUGGAUCUCUAAAUCUUCCCUGCACCCCGUGAGUGGGCUGUGGCUACUAAUGACUGGAGGACUCAACUGGAUGCACAGACUGAAAGAUGGCAGGAAGCAAACUUCUUUUGUCACUGGAAGUUCUCAAGCCAUUGGGAGACUAUGCAGCUAGAGACAGAUAAUGUGUUGUACAUCUCUUUCACCCGACGGUAGCGGAAUGCUAAUUUCCUCAUCCAGUCUACUCCCCCAUGAACGCCUGAGCCCAGACACAGAUUUGCACUGGCAGUUGAACUGUGAAAGCCAUCUGCGGAGAAGUUAUACGUGCUGGGAAAGGGAGGAGGGAAGGGGAGAGCUGGGGACUACCUGACCUGCAGUUUCCAGCCUGGAGAUCCCGUACCUGAGAUCUUGACCGUUAUCAUCUGAUGAUACAUCAUCUAUGUGGAUCUGGUCACAGUCCUGAGAAGUGUAUAAAAAAAAAUCCAGCAAGGUAAAAGCACUUGGUACAACAGGACUCUGAAGUCAGAAAAACCGCCGCCAACCAAGGUCAGCCUGUGCUACAGAACCUGCAUCCAGGUGGGAUCAGACCCUUGUACACCCAUGUAAAGGAGCCAGAGCUCAUGCAGCUUUGAAAUGGUACUGCAGGUUCAGAGAAAGCCUCUGCUGUACGGUGAAAUACAAGCUGUUCCUGAGGACACAUAGAGAAGCUCCUUCUGUUAUCGUUUAUGGUCCUGUC
Long non-coding RNA from Calidris pugnax (ruff), 964 nucleotides. RefSeq lists it as uncharacterized. The record is from RefSeq and is a predicted model, not a curated record. The transcript is spliced from 7 exons. Lineage: Eukaryota; Metazoa; Chordata; Aves; Charadriiformes; Scolopacidae.